RNAcentral lists this unclassified non-coding RNA (287 nucleotides) under uncultured fungus. RNAcentral describes it as "partial contains small subunit ribosomal RNA, internal transcribed spacer 1, and 5.8S ribosomal RNA". The stretch from base 1 to 73 matches the Rfam family "Eukaryotic small subunit ribosomal RNA", at positions 1759 to 1831 of the family's 1831-position model. The record is from RNAcentral. Lineage: Eukaryota; Fungi.
CCAAACUUGGUCAUUUAGAGGAAGUAAAAGUCGUAACAAGGUCUCCGUUGGUGAACCAGCGGAGGGAUCAUUACCGAAUGUUACUAAACAUAAACCCUUGUGAACCUUCUACGUUGCUGCCUUGGCAGGUAAUCCCAGGGCGGGAUUCUAGGCCUCUUUUAGGGGCACUUGCCAGUGGCAGAAAACUUUUCAAACUCUGAAUUACAGUGGCUUCUGAGUGUUAUUUAAAAUAAGUUAAAACUUUCAACAACGGAUCUCUUGGUUCUGGCAUCGAUGAAGAACGCAGC